This is a non-coding RNA of Paramuricea clavata, 222 nucleotides long. Lineage: Eukaryota; Metazoa; Cnidaria; Anthozoa; Malacalcyonacea; Plexauridae. The record is from the annotation of a GenBank genome assembly.
UGCAGCUCAGGAAACAAAGAAAUACGCUACGUUUCGGUACGACUGAAGUGGAAAACUGGCUAGGCUCAAUAACAAAGUACUUUUCAAUCCUACUAAACACAAAACAUGAGUAAGUAUUUGACACGAAAACGAGGCCAUUGGGUGAAAAGUGAAUGAACGGUAAGGUCUAUUAAAUGAUAUUUGAAAAAUACGCUUUCAACGUCAUCUGACGACAUCAUCAGC